Molecule: long non-coding RNA, 226 nt
Organism: Sinocyclocheilus anshuiensis
Lineage: Eukaryota; Metazoa; Chordata; Actinopteri; Cypriniformes; Cyprinidae
Exons: 3
Source: RefSeq, a predicted model, not a curated record
UCCGUGCAGCAGGUGUGUUUCCUAGUAGUUUGUUCCUCCUACAUAAUUCGUCAACAAAGCCAACAUACCCAAGAGGAAUAUGCUUUGUCUGCGGUUCUUGCCUCGACCUGGAUUUGGAGAAAAUGACCCAUUGUUAGACAGAUCUGCAGGAGUGCAGAGAUGAGGGAUGUCAAAGCAAUGGAAUUGAAUACCCGGCGGCUGGAAUACUGAGCUCUUGUGUCCCGGA